Molecule: ribosomal RNA, 531 nt
Filed under: Acraea violae (tawny coster)
Lineage: Eukaryota; Metazoa; Arthropoda; Insecta; Lepidoptera; Nymphalidae
Description: partial 16S ribosomal RNA
Rfam family: Archaeal large subunit ribosomal RNA
Source: RNAcentral
AAAAACAUGUCUUUUUGAGUAAUAAUUUAAAGUCUAAUCUGCCCACUGAUGUAAUAUUAAAGGGCUGCAGUAUAUUGACUGUACAAAGGUAGCAUAAUCAUUAGUCUUUUAAUUGAAGACUUGUAUGAAAGAUUUGAUGAAAUAUAAACUGUCUCUAAUUUAUUAAUAAAAAUUAAUUUUUUAGUUAAAAAGCUAAAAUAAAUAUAAAAGACGAGAAGACCCUAUAGAGUUUUAUAUUUUUUUAUAUUAUAAUUAAAUAUAUAAUUUAAAAUUUUAAUAAAAAAAAAUAUUUUGUUGGGGUGACAGAAAAAUUAAAUAAACUUUUUUUAAAAGUAAAACAUAAAUAAGUGAAUUUAUGAUCCAGUGUUAUUGAUUAAAAGAAAAAAUUACCUUAGGGAUAACAGCGUAAUUUUUUUUUUUAGUACAAAUAAAAAGAAAAGUUUGCGACCUCGAUGUUGGAUUAAGAUAAAAUUUAAAUGCAAAAGUUUAAAAUUUUGAUCUGUUCGAUCAUUAAAAUCUUACAUGAUCUGA